Molecule: ribosomal RNA, 254 nt
Filed under: uncultured bacterium
Lineage: Bacteria
Description: partial 16S ribosomal RNA
Rfam family: Bacterial small subunit ribosomal RNA
Source: RNAcentral
UACGUAGGGGGCAAGCGUUGUCCGGAAUCAUUGGGCGUAAAGCGCGUGUAGGCUGCCCGAUAAGUCCGCCGUGAAAGUCCAGGGCUCAACCCUGGGAUGCCGGUGGAAACUGUCGGGCUAGAGUCCGGAAGAGGCGAGUGGAAUUCCUGGUGUAGCGGUGAAAUGCGCAGAUAUCAGGAGGAACACCAAUGGCGAAGGCAGCUCGCUGGGACGGUUACUGACGCUGAGACGCGAAAGCGUGGGGAGCAAACAGG